UACCAAAGUUCACCCUUGGCAGGGAGAUGAAGGGAAUUAGGGAGGGCUAUUUUAGCAAUUAGUGAUGUAUGGAAGUGAGAAGUGAGAGCUGGACCAUAAAGAAGGCUGAUUGCCGAAGAAUUGAUGCUUUUGAAUUAUGGUGCUGGAGGAGACUCUUGAGAGUCCCAUGGACUGCAAGAAGAUCAACCUAUCCAUUCUGAAGGAAAUCAGCCCUGAGUGCUCACUAGAAGGACAGAUCCUGAAGCUGAGGCUCCAAGACUUUGACCACCUCAUGAGAAGAGAAGACUCCCUGGAAAAGACCCUGAUGUUGGGAAAGAUGGAGGGCACAAGGAGAAGGGGACGACAGAGGACGAGAUGGUGGGACAGUGUUCUCAAAGCUACCAGCAUGAGUUUGACUAAACUGCGGGAGGCAGUGGAAGACAGGAGUGCCUGGCGUGCUCUGGUCCAGGGGAUCACAAAGAGUUGGACACGACUAAACAACAACAACAACAUAAUGCAGCCACUGUAGUGCACCCACUGGCUUUUAACUAAAGAAAAAUCUGAAUUGAUCAGUUCCUGAAAGAUAAAUGAAAGUCUUGCUUCAGCUUCAGCUUCUGAGCAAAGGGGAGAUCCCAGUGUCAGACUAGGACCAGGGUUUCAAAUCCCUGUUCUGCCACGAAGCCUGCUGGGUGACCUUGGGCCAGCUACUCUUGGCCCCAACCUACCUCACAGGGUUGUUGAACAUUCAGUGAGGAGGUGGAGAACCACCUUAAGCUCCUCGGACGAAAAAGGUGGGUUUAUAAUUUAAGUCGAUCCAUCACAGACUAUUAGGCUCCCCUGAAGGGGACGACAGAGGACGAGAUGGUGGGACAGUGUUCUCGAAGCUACCAGCAUGAGUCUGACCAAACUGCGGGAGGCAGUGGAAGACAGAAGUGCCUGGCGUGAUCUGGUCCAUGGGGUCACGAAGAGUCGGACAUGACUAAACGACUCAACAACAACAACAUUUUAGCAAUGGGAGGCAGAAGGAGAUACUCCAGUGGGAGACAGCUUGGUCACUGCUGCAGAGAAAGGGACUUCUGUCAUGUCUUGGCUCCUCCCUCGGCUGGGUUGUCCCUGAAGUCAGUGAGCCUGGUCAGUGAGCCUCUGCGUUGAAGGAUACUGCUGCUGAACGCUGCUGGGUCGCUGAAUGGAAAAACAACAGCCCCUCAGGUUUUUAUCCAGAGUGAGCCUGCUGACUAGGCCUGUAUUAUGGAGGCUGAGUACUCUUGAUCUGCAGGAACUGCUCACCUCCCAGGGUUUGUAAGAGUGAGGUAUAUGCAUGAGGAAAGGAGAGAAAGAGAGGGUGCUGUCUGCCUCCAUGUAUGUAUGUGGAGUGUGUUGUGCUGCUGCUGUAAACAAAAUCUGCCCUUUUUCCCUUAUGGGGUAUCCAAGAGCCCGUAUAGAGUCCUUACGUGGGUUCCCUAUUGGUAGGAGAAAAUAACAGAGGCCAACCAGAGAAUAGGUAAAGGGUAAAGGGACCCCUGACCAAUAGGUCCAGUCGUGGCCGACUCUGGGGUUGUGAGGCCCAUCUCGCUUUAUUGGCUGAGGGAGCCAGCAUACAGCUUCCGGGUCUUGUGGCCAGCAUGACUAAGCCACUUCUGGCGAAACAGAGCAGCGCACGCAAACGCCGUUUACCUUCCCGCCGGAGCAGUACCUAUUUAUCUACUUGCACUUUGACUUGCUUUCGAACUGCUAGGUUGGCAGGAGCAGGGACCGAGGAACGGGAACUCACCCCGUCGCAGGGAUUCGCACCGCCGACCUUCUGAUUGGCAAGUCCUAGGCUCUGUGGUUUAACCCACAGUGCCACUCUGUCUCCCUUAGCCUGGCACUUGAUGGUGGGCAACAGAGUCCUGAGUGAGGUUCUUUGAAGGCUACUCCAACAACCAGAAUAAGUUUCCAUCAUCCUCACCACUCACCACUUGGUUUUUCGCCUACCUCAUAGCAAAUCAUCACAACUUUCUUGGUAUUGGUGGUUAGGCAUUGGUAUUGUUAUGUAGAUGGAAGAGGGGAGGAAGCGCCAUCACCUGCCCCACAUAUUGAAGUGUAGUCUGAUAAAGGAUUCCGGGGGGCGUGGCCCUGUCCAAAGCCUAUGGAGGUGAUGGCAUAAGGCACUCCCCCUAGCAGUGACCCCCGGGGGAGUUCCUAGUUGAUGUGCAUCAGCAGAACUCCCCCUACUGGUGGUUAACGCUUCCCGGACUUCAAGUGGACGGCUGAAGCCAGAUAGUCAGUUAGGACCAAUGCCUAAGCCAAUACUGUUCAUCACCUGUAACCAAUAAAGUUGUGGCCUUAUUUAGCCCAUUAACCU
This 2323-nucleotide long non-coding RNA is filed under the name Podarcis lilfordi (Lilford's wall lizard). Lineage: Eukaryota; Metazoa; Chordata; Lepidosauria; Squamata; Lacertidae. The record is from RNAcentral.